Molecule: non-coding RNA, 976 nt
Organism: Zonotrichia albicollis (white-throated sparrow)
Lineage: Eukaryota; Metazoa; Chordata; Aves; Passeriformes; Passerellidae
Source: RefSeq, a predicted model, not a curated record
UGAGUUGGUUUGUAAAGAGAUUUUUCCUUUGGAGGUUUCAGUCAGUUGUGUUCACUUGUAAUUCUUCCUGGAUUUCCCUGGGAAGUGAGGAGAGACAGGUCUGCAGGAGGGAUUUCCUGAGGAAAAGUUGUGCUGGUGUCACUUCACCCUAACCAGGGAAAGGCUGCAGGGAGGAAAAUCAGCAUUUUUAGAUCCCAUUCUGCUCCAACUGAGAAAUUCCAAGGACAAAACCAACAGGGCACUGAUUCCCUUCAAUCAGCAAUCCAGCCAGAAAUGCAGAUAGAACACGGAGCCAUCCAAAUCCAGUGAGAGGACUGAGGAAUGCUGGGGAGCUGGCAGUGAACUCCAGCCAGAAAUGGAGUGGGAAGGGCUGGAAAAACCUCCCAGACCUCAGAACCUCCAGCCAUGCCCUGCUCCCCCUCACCUGGGAUAAUUCCAGCUUCGGUCAGAGCUGCACCACGACACCAACCCAAGUCCUGGCCUUCACAAAAACCCCGUGGGCUGCACUUAAAUCCACUCAGAGAGGACAGAACAAAUCUUUCAUGGGGAGAGGAAGAGCUCUCCUGCACCCAAACUGUGAGACUCCAUCCCUGGCCGCCCCCUGUGCAAAUGGAAUGUCUGCAGAUGUUUGGGUAUUGCUGCCCUGCAGUACCUGCUUUGCCACCUAGGGAAAGCUCCAGAGCUCAGAUAUUUUUCACUGUUGGAACAGUCUUUUUUUUUUUUUUUUUUUUUAAUUUGCUAUGGUGUUUAUAACAAAAAAAAAAAAAAAAGGAAAAUAUUUAAAAAAAGGAAAAAUCCCUUGACGGCAAGUCUUGGCCUUUUGCUGGUGUUUUCUGUUCAGUGUCAUGAAAACUGUAUUUGCAGAAGACUAACACUUUUGUUUGUACUGUUGCUUAACUACUUUUCUAGGGGAAAAUGCUUUAAAAAUGCUGUAAUUACGCAUUUCUAAUGAAAAAUAAAUGUGUAUUUAUGAAUA